CCUACGGGUGGCACCAGGGGGGAAUAUUGGGCAAUGGGCGAAAGCCUGAUCCAGCAACGCCGUGUGUGUGAAGAAGGUCCUCGGAUUGUAAAGCACUUUCGACGGGGACGAUGAUGACGGUACCCGUAGAAGAAGCCUCGGCUAACUUCGUGCCAGCAGCCGCGGUAAUACGAAGGGGGCUAGCGUUGCUCGGAAUGACUGGGCGUAAAGGGCGCGUAGGCGGUUUAUGCAGUCAGAUGUGAAAUCCCCGGGCUUAACCUGGGAACUGCAUUUGAGACGCAUAGACUAGAGGUCGAGAGAGGGUUGUGGAAUUCCCAGUGUAGAGGUGAAAUUCGUAGAUAUUGGGAAGAACACCGGUGGCGAAGGCGGCAACCUGGCUCGAUACUGACGCUGAGGCGCGAAAGCGUGGGGAGCAAACAGGAUUAGAUACCCGUGUAGUC
Molecule: ribosomal RNA, 440 nt
Filed under: uncultured bacterium
Lineage: Bacteria
Description: bacterial SSU rRNA
Rfam family: Bacterial small subunit ribosomal RNA
Source: RNAcentral